Cebus imitator (Panamanian white-faced capuchin) is the source of this 604-nucleotide RNA transcript. RefSeq lists it as uncharacterized. Lineage: Eukaryota; Metazoa; Chordata; Mammalia; Primates; Cebidae. The transcript is spliced from 6 exons. The record is from RefSeq and is a predicted model, not a curated record.
UGCGGUAUUUGAUGUCAGUAGGGACAAAGUUCCAGAAAUGGAGUUACAGCUCAGAUGAGAAACACAAGUCACCGAUGAAUUAACAAGCAACACAUUGUCACAUCCAGCUAUUGAAGAGUGGUUAACUCAGCUUCAGCUCUGAAGACUCUUUGCACUCCACCCCGCCCCCAAUUGCUUUCCAAAGAGAAACAAAAAAUAAGAUUGAGUCCCAGGAACCAGUGACAUUUGAGGAUGUGGCUGUGGACUUCACCCAGGAAGAGUGGCAGCAGUUGAAUCCUGCUCAGAAGACCCUGCAUAGGGAUGUGAUGCUGGAGACCUAUAGUCAUCUGGUCUCUGUGGGGUGUUCAGGUAUAAAACCAGAUGUAAUCUUUAAGGUGGAACACAGAAAGGACCCAUGGAUCAAAGACAGUGAGUUGUCAAGGUGGGUCUACCCAGGCAAGUGAGAAUUGGAUAGAUGGUCAAGAGGGGAUCUUCUUCUUCCUUGACAUCAGUUACCUUCUUUCUUCCUUAAAAUGUAUCAGGCCUCCUUUAUAAUAUUCAUUCUACAACAGCCACCUUCCUAGUACCUCUGUUCAUGGCCAACUGUGUGUGUGUGUGUGUGUGU